This 468-nucleotide ribosomal RNA is filed under the name uncultured bacterium. RNAcentral's name for it is "partial 16S ribosomal RNA". It matches the Rfam family "Bacterial small subunit ribosomal RNA", at positions 28 to 507 of the family's 1533-position model. The record is from RNAcentral.
GACGAACGCUGGCGGCGUGCUUAACACAUGCAAGUCGAACGGAAAGGCCCUGCUUUUGUGGGGUGCUCGAGUGGCGAACGGGUGAGUAACACGUGAGUAACCUGCCCUUGACUUUGGGAUAACUUCAGGAAAUUGGGGCUAAUACCGGAUAGGAGCUCCUGCUGCAUGGUGGGGGUUGGAAAGUUUCGGCGGUUGGGGAUGGACUCGCGGCUUAUCAGCUUGUUGGUGGGGUAGUGGCUUACCAAGGCUUUGACGGGUAGCCGGCCUGAGAGGGUGACCGGCCACAUUGGGACUGAGAUACGGCCCAGACUCCUACGGGACGCAGCAGUGGGGAAUAUUGCACAAUGGGCGGACGCCUGAUGCAGCAACGCCGCGUGCGGGAUGCCGGCCUUCGGGUUGUAAACCGCUUUCGCAUGUGACGAAGCGUGAGUGACGGUAAUGGGUAAAGAAGCACCGGCUAACUACGUG